CCUACGGGAGGCAGCAGUGAGGAAUAUUGGUCAAUGGGCGCGAGCCUGAACCAGCCAAGUAGCGUGAAGGAUGACUGCCCUACGGGUUGUAAACUUCUUUUAUAAAGGAAUAAAGUGAGGCGCGUGUGCCUUUUUGUAUGUACUUUAUGAAUAAGGAAAGGCUAACUCCGUGCCAGCAGCCGCGGCAAUACGGAGGAUCCGAGCGUUAUCCGGAUUUAUUGGGUUUAAAGGGAGCGUAGAUGGGGUGUUAAGUCAGUUGAGAAAGUUUGUGGCUCAACCGUAAAAUUGCAAUUGAUACUGGCAGCCUUGAGUACAGUAGAGGUAGGCGGAAUUCGUGGUGUAGCGGUGAAAUGCUUAGAUAUCACGAAGAACACCGAUGGCGAAGGCAGCUUACUAAACUGCCACUGACAUUGAUGCUCGAAAGUGUGGGUAUCAAACAGGAUUAGAUACCCGAGUAGUC
RNAcentral lists this ribosomal RNA (460 nucleotides) under uncultured bacterium. RNAcentral describes it as "partial 16S ribosomal RNA". It matches the Rfam family "Bacterial small subunit ribosomal RNA", at positions 338 to 795 of the family's 1533-position model. The record is from RNAcentral.